This 5518-nucleotide long non-coding RNA is filed under the name Homo sapiens (human). RNAcentral's name for it is "HSALNT0174272". Lineage: Eukaryota; Metazoa; Chordata; Mammalia; Primates; Hominidae. The record is from RNAcentral.
GAAAGAAAGAAAGAAACUGCAGGCAAAUAUCCAUGAUAAACAUUGAUGCAACAAUCCUCUACUAAAUACUAGCAAACCAAAUCAAUAACACAUUAAAAAGAUCAUUUGUCAUGAUGAAGUUGGAUUUACUCUAGGGAUGCAAAGAUGGUUCAACAUAUGCAAAUCAAUCAAUAUAAUACAUCAUAUCAACAGAAUGAAGGAAAAAAUCAUUUAAAUUGAUGCUGAAAAUGCAUUUUUUGAAAUCCCACAUCCUUUCAUGAUAAAUGUCCUGAUAAAUGAAAUUCAUGAUAAAUAAAUGAAAGUAAACAAUCAACAAAGUAAAGAGAAAACACACAGAAUGGGAGAAAAUAUGUGCAAACUAUUCAUCUGACAAGGGAUUAAUAACAGGAAAAAACUGGAUACAGAAGGAACAUACCUUAACAUAAUAAAAGUUAUAUAUGACAGACUCACAGCUAGUAUACUGCAUGGGGAACAAUUGAAAACCUUUUCUCUAAUAUCUGUAAGAUGACAAGGAUGCUCACUUUCACCACUGUUAUUCAACAUAGUACUGAAAGUCCUGGCUACAACAAUCAGACAAAAGAAAGAAAUAAAGGGCAUUCAAAUUGGAGUGGAAGAAGUCAAAUUAUUCUUGUUUACAGGCGAUAUGAUCUUCUAUUUUGAAAAUCUUGAAGACCCCAUCAAAAAACCUAUUAGAACUGAUAAAUAAACAGAGUAAAGUUGCAGGAUACAAAAAUCAACAUACAAAAAUUAGUAGCAUUUCUAUAUACCAACAGUGAACAAUCUGAAAAAGAAAUCCAGAAAGUAAUCCCAUUAUAAUACUACAAAUAAAAUAAAUUCAUAGGAAUAAGCUUCACCAAUGAAAUAAAAUAUCUCUAUAAUGAAAACUAUUUUAAAAAUAAUGAAAGAAAUUGAAGUGGUAACACAAACCUGGAAAGAUAUUCCAUAUUCAUCAAUUAGAAGAAUCAAUAUUAUUAAAAUGUUCUUACUACCUAAAGCAAUCUAGAGAUUCAAUGCAAUAUCUAUCAAAAUACCAAUGACAGUCUUCACAGAAGUAGAAAAAACAAUGCUAAAAUUUAUAUGGAACCACAAAAAGCCACAAUAGCCAAAGUUAUCCUAGCAAAAAUAACUAAACUGGAGGAAUUAUAUUACCUGACUUUAAAUUAUAUUACAAAGCUUUAGUAACCAAAAUAACAUGGUCCUGGCAUAAAAACAGAUGCAUAGACCAAGGCAACAGAAUAGAGAAUCCAGAAACAAAUCCAUACAUCUACAGUGACCUAAUUUUCAACAAAGGUGCCAAGAACAUACAUUGGGAAAAGGACAGUCUCUUCAAUAAAUGAUACUGGCAACACUGGAUAUCCACAUGCAGAAGAAUGAACCUAGACCCUUAUGUCUCACAGUUAAAAAAAUCAAAUCAAAAUGGAUUAAAGCCUUAAAUCUAAUACCUGUAAAUGUAAAACUAGUAAAAGGAAACAUUGGGUAAAAUUUUCCAGGACAUUGGACUGGGCAAAAUUCCAUGAGUAAUACCCCACCAGCACAGGCAAUCAAAGCACAAAUAAACAAAUAGGUUCACAUCAAGUUAAAAAGCUUCCGUACAGGAAAGUAAACAAUCAACAAAGUAAAGAAAAGACAAACAGAAUGGGAGAAAAUAUGUUCAAACUAUUCAUCUGACAAGGGAUUAAUAACCAGAAUAUAUAAGGAGCCCAAACAACUCAGGAAAUAAAUCUAACAAUUUGAUUUAGUAAUGGGCAAAUGAUCUGAACAGACAUUUCUAAAAGGAGCCAUACAAAUGGCAAACAGGUAUGUGAUCAGGUGCUUAACAUCACUGAUCAUCAGAGAAAUGCAAACCAAAACCACAGUGAGAUAGCAUCCCACCCCAGUUAAAAUGGCUUUUAUACAAAAGACAGACAGUAACAAAUGCUGGUGAGGAUGUGGAGAAAAGACAACGUUGGUACACUGUUGCUGGGAAUGUAAAUUAGCACAACCAUUAUAGAAAACAGUUGGGAGUUUCCUCAAAAAAACAAAGAGUGGAACCAACAUAAGAUCCAGCAAUCCAACUACUAGGUAUAUACCCAAAAGAAAGCAAAUCAAUACAUUGAGAAGAUAUCCUUACUCCCAUGUUUAUUGCAGCGCUAUUCACAACAGUCAAAAUUUGGAACCAGCCUAAUUGUCAUCAACAGAUGAAUGGAUAAAGAAAAUGUGGUACAUAUACACGAUGGAGCAGUAUUCAGCUAUAAAGAAUGAGACCCCGCAUUUGCAACAACAAGGAUGGAAUUGGAAGUCAUUAUGUUAAGCAAUAUAAGCCAGGCAAAGGAAGAUAGCUGAUUUUGGAAGCUAAAAUUAAAAUAAUUGAACUCAUAGAGAUAGAGAGUAGAAUAAUGGUUACCACAGGCUGGGAAGGGUAGUUGCAGGGAGAGACGGGAUAGUUAUUGGGUACAAAAAUAGUUAAAUAGAAUAAAUAAGAUCUAGUAUUUGACUAUAACAGGGUGACUACAGUCAAAAAUAAUUUAUUCUAUAUUUAGAAAUAACAAAAAGUAUAUAAUUUGAUUUUUCAUAACACAAAGAAAGGAUACAUGCUUGAAGUGAUGAAUAUCCCAUUUACCCUGAUUUGAUUAUCACACAGUUUGCCUGUGUCAAAAUAUCUCAUGUACCCCAUAAAUAUAUACACCUACUAUGUACUCACCAAGUGAAAAAUUAAUUAUAAAAAAAAAUUGACCCAGACUUUUGGCUUCUUUUCAAUCUAUAAUAGCACAGUUGAUUCCUGAGCUGUGAUGACUUUCCACUGACCAUACUACUGCAAUGAUGUUAUUCUGGGCCAAACUUCGGAAUCAAUUCUUGUCUGCUGCCUGAUUCAAUUAUUUUUAAUGCACCCUGUGGAUUUUUACUUGCUAAAGUAGAAAGAAGAUCCCAACAUUUGAUGAGAAAAUAUACAGAAGGGAGGCUGAUCCCGGGUGCACUGUGGCAGGUGGCAGUAUAGAUUUUUGUGAAGCAGCAGUGUGCUGUGAUAUGAGUAGCAGAUGAAGAAGGAAGGAAAUGAAGUCACUCAAUUCUUAUAUGGCAUAAUUACUCUUAUAUUUGGAAUCAACAUGUGGAAUUUCUAGAUGUUUGGAAUCACUGAUGUGAGAGAAAGAAUCUGCAUCACCUUGAAAUGGGAACUGUGGAAGUUUGAAUUUAAAGUACAUGGCAGAAGACAUGUCUAAGCAGUAAAGAAUUCAAGAAGUGACCUGGCUGCUUCUAACAACAUAACUCAAGGUGGAAGCAAUGCAAUGACUUAAAGAUUGAAGUUCUAUUUAAAGGAGAAGCAGAGCAGAAAAGUUUGGAAAUUUUCAGCCUAGUCAUGUGAUAUGGUUUGGCUCUGUGUCCCCACCUAAAUCUCAUGUCGAGUUGUAAUCCCCAUGUGUCAGGGGAGCCACAUGGUGGGAGGUGAUUGGAUCAUUGAUGUGGAUUUCCCCCUUGCUGUUCUCAUGAUAGUGAGUUCUCAUGAGAUCUGUCUCUCUCUCUUCUGCCUCUAUGUGAAGAAGGUGCUUGCUUCCCCUUCACCUUCCACCAUGAUUGUAAGUUUCCUGAGGCCUCCCAAUCAUGCUUCCUGUUAAGCCUGUGGAACUGUUAGUCAAUUAAACCUUCUUUCUUCAUAAAUUAUCCAGUCUCAUCUAGUUCCUUAUAGCAGAGUGAAAGCAAACUAAUACACCAUGUGGCAAAGAAAGAAAAAACUUCUUUGGGAGAGGAAUCCAAGCAGGCUGCAGAGCAACCACUUGCCAGAGAGAUUCAUAUGUUUCAUAGAGAGACAGACGCUGAUAGACAGGACAAUGAGAAAAGGCAUUUUACAGAUCUACAAACCAAUCUCUCCUAAAACAGACCCAGAGGUAUAGGAGAAAAGAAUGGUUUAGAGGGCAGGCCUUGCUUCCCAGCACCACUGCAGGAGGAUGCUACUUGUAUCCAGGUCUCUCCAACCUCAGCUCAAAGAGGCUUAAAUACGUUUUGAGCUGCUGCUUAAAAGGGUAGAAGCUGUAAGCAUUGGUGGCUUCAAUGUGAUGUUAAUCUUGCAGGUGUUUAGAUGUAAGAAUGAAGGAGGCUUGGCAGCUUAUCCCUAGAUUUCAGAGGAUCUAUGAGAAAGCCUGAGUGCCCAGGAAGAAAUCUCCUGCAGGGGUAGAGGCCUUUCAAAGAACCUCUAUUAGGGCAUCAUGGAGGGGGAAUGCAGGGCUGGAACGCCCACAUAGAAUUGUCACCAUGGUACUGCCUAGUGGACCUAUGGGAAUGCUGCUAUUUCCAGACCCAAGAAUGGUAGAGCCAAUGGAAGCCUGCAAUUUGAAUAUGGAAAUGGCACAGACACCCAACUCCAACUCAUGAAAGGAGCCACAGGGUAUACACCCUGCACAGCCACAGGGUUGGAGCUGUCCAAGACCUUGGGAACCCACCCCUUGCACCAGUGGUUGCAAUGUGGGACUUGGAGCCAAAGGAGAUUUCUUGGAGCUUUAAGAUUUAAUGACUACUCUGCUGGGUUUCAGACUUGCAUCGGGUCUGCAGCCCCUUUAUUUUGGCCAAUUUCUCCCUUUUGGAAUGAGAAUGUUUACCAAAUGCCUAUAACCCCAUUGUAUCUUGGAAGUAAUAACUUGAUUUUUAUUACACAGGCUUGGAAGGAACUCAUCUACAGAGGAGGCUUUAGACUUGGGAAUUGGAACUUGAGACUUUAAAUUUAGUUGAUGCUGUAAUGCUUUAAGACUUUGGGGGAUUAUUUGAAAGGAGUGGAAUGAUAUUGUUUGAAUAUUUGUCCCCUCCACAUUUCAUGUAAAAGUGUAAUCCUCAAUUUAGGAAGUGGGGCCUGGUGAGAAGUGUUUGGAUUAUUGGGGGUAAAACACUCAUGAAUAGCUUGGUGCUGUUCUUAUGAUAGUGAGUAAAUUCUCAUGAGACCUGGUUGUUGAAAACUGUGUAGUACAUCCCCCAACCUUGCUCCUGCUCUUGCCAUGUGACAUUCUGGCUCCCUGUCACCUUUCAUAAAGAGUGUAAUCUUUGUGAGGUGUCACCAGAAGCACAUGCUGGUACCAUGCUUCCUGUAAAGACUGCAGAACCAUGAGUCAAGUAAACUUAUUUUCUUUGUAUAUUAGCCAGUCUCAGGUAUUCCUUUAUAGUAUCACAAACAGAGCAAUACAAGGACUUCCUUUUUAAUCACAUUGAUAAAUUUAUUCUAGAAACACUUAUUUAGUUAUGAUUAUUUGGGAUUCAACCGUAUACAUAAUUGUAUGUUCUGCCCUCUUAGAUAUUCCAUUCUAGUAAACAAAACAGACACAUAAACAAGGAAAUGAUGGUAUGUGGAAUAAAGUGUUAUAAAGGAAACAAAGAUAGCUGUCAGAUAGACAUAACAUGGAUGUAAUUUUUGAGAUGAAAACUUUAGUUAAUGUUAAUAGGAAAGCCACUCUGUGGAGGUGGCAUUUAAGUUGAAACCUAAAAAGAAAAAAGGCGUGACUAGGAAUUAAUGGUUAAAUUUCACUGUCCCUUUCUUUAAAUCGGACUGUAAGAGAAAUUG